AGAUUGAACGCUGGCGGCGUGCCUAACACAUGCAAGUCGAGCGGUAACAGGUGUAGCAAUACAUGCUGACGAGCGGCGAACGGGUGAGUAAUGCUUCGGAAUCUACCUUAUGGUGGGGAAUAACUAGCCGAAAGGUUAGCUAAUACCGCAUACGUCCUACGGGAGAAAGCAGGGGAUCGCAAGACCUUGCGCCAAAAGAUGAGCCGAAGUCGGAUUAGCUAGUUGGUAGGUAACGGCCUACCAAGGCGACGAUCCGUAGCUGGUCUGAGAGGACGACCAGCCACACUGGAACUGAGACACGGUCCAGACUCCUACGGGAGGCAGCAGUGGGGAAUAUUGGACAAUGGGGGAAACCUGAUCCAGCGACGCCGCGUGUGUGAAGAAGGCCUGCGGGUUGAAAGCACUUUAGUGGGAUGAAAUGUGCAGAGCUAAUACCUCUGUACUUUGACCUAACCCAACAGAAAAAAGACACCGGCUAACUACUGUGCCAGCAGCCGA
This 498-nucleotide ribosomal RNA is filed under the name uncultured soil bacterium. RNAcentral's name for it is "bacterial SSU rRNA". It matches the Rfam family "Bacterial small subunit ribosomal RNA", at positions 26 to 518 of the family's 1533-position model. The record is from RNAcentral.